AGGGAGACUCUGGGAGCUUUGGAGAAACUGGACCUACUGGGUUAAGAGGCCCCGUGGGAGUUCCUGGACCGCGGGGUGUCAGAGGAGACACUGGCAAGCUGGGACCCCCUGGUCUACUCGGACAAGUUGGUCCUAAAGGUCACCAAGGAGCGAAAGGGGGACCAGGACAACAAGGCACGAAAGGAGAGUCAGGAGCUCCAGGCCCUCCAGGGAAAGAGG
Nerophis lumbriciformis (worm pipefish) is the source of this 219-nucleotide long non-coding RNA. RefSeq lists it as uncharacterized. The record is from RefSeq and is a predicted model, not a curated record. NCBI's taxonomy places the organism in Eukaryota, Metazoa, Chordata, Actinopteri, Syngnathiformes, Syngnathidae.